RNAcentral lists this ribosomal RNA (497 nucleotides) under uncultured bacterium. RNAcentral's name for it is "partial 16S ribosomal RNA". It matches the Rfam family "Bacterial small subunit ribosomal RNA", at positions 28 to 507 of the family's 1533-position model. The record is from RNAcentral.
GAUGAACGCUGGCGGCGUGCCUAAUACAUGCAAGUAGAGCGCACGGACGAGAAGCUUGCUUCUCUGAUGUUAGCGGCGGACGGGUGAGUAACACGUGGAUAACCUACCUAUAAGACUGGGAUAACUUCGGGAAACCGUAGCUAAUACCGCAUAAUAAUAUGAACCGCAUGGUUCAAAAGUGAAAGACGGUCUUGCUGUAACUUAUAGAUGGAUCCGCGCUGCUUUAGCUAGUUGGUAAGGUAACGGCUUACCAAGGCAACGCUGCAUAGCCGACCUGAGAGGGUGUUCGGCCCCACUGGAACUGGGACACGGUCCGGCCUCCUACGGGAGGCAGCGGUGGGGAAUCUUCCGCAUUGGGCGAAAGCCUGCCGGAGCAACGCCGCGUGGGUGAUGAGGGUCUUCGGAUCGUAAAACUCUGUUAUUAGGGAAGAACAGAUGUGUAAGUAACUGUGCACAUCGUGACGGUACCUAAUCAGAAAGCCACGGCUAACUACGUG